GGUGCGUACAAAUGAUUAAGUGCUCGAAUCGAUCCCUCUCUCUAUCCCCGAUAUGUAGUGAUUUGUUUCCAAAAAUUUUCCAACCCAAAAUACAAUAUUCGUCCUCUUGAUAGUGGCAGGGAAACAUUUGAAUUUUGUUAGUAAAAAAAUCUUGUUUCUAGUUUUGAGUCUUUCGAGUAUAAAAAACAAUGUGUCCAUAAUUGGUCACACUAUGGUAUAGCAAGUGUAGUCGAUAAAACUAGUGACUAGUGGACGGUGUCGCAUAGAAAGAAAAAUCACAAAGCGCUAAAUAGGAAUACUUAGAGAGAUCGUACUUAUAUUUUAUCAAGUACUUUUAUACAUUUUGAUAUCGGCUCUCUCUCGACCUAAUGUGCAUAAACUUGGGCAUUUUUAUAAGUAAACUUUAUUAUUUUAAUUUUUAUCUGUGUCCAAAACUUUUAAAAAUAUUGUCUGAUAUUUUUUAAAGAAAUUCCUACUUUUGGAGAAUAGCCGAACGUAGGUUCAUGAUGAUUCUACCUUAUUCUUCUACGGAAAGCUUUAUUUUUCAUAAAUUGAAUGAAUCUUAACCUUUUUCACUCCAUUUCGCUGUAUUUUUAUCCUUCAUUCAGGUAGUUAUCAUAUUCUCUAUAUCUCGAUUUGCCUUUUCUAGUGAUCUGUAAGGCCAGGAAAAAUAGUUAAUUUAGAACCAAUUUCUUUUAAAGAAUCAAU
Molecule: non-coding RNA, 708 nt
Organism: Cinara cedri
Lineage: Eukaryota; Metazoa; Arthropoda; Insecta; Hemiptera; Aphididae
Source: the annotation of a GenBank genome assembly